AUGCCGCCAGGUGUACGGCAGGGUAGCUACGUCUGGAAUAGAUAAGCGCUGAAAGCAUCUAAGUGCGAAACUAGCCACGAGAUGAGACUUCCUUAUAGGGUCGUUGGAGAUGACAACGUUGAUAGGCUAUAGGUGUAAAGGUUGAGAGACCAAAGCCGAGUAGUACUAAUAGCCCGAAGCUUUCUACAG
Sphingobacterium psychroaquaticum is the source of this 189-nucleotide non-coding RNA. Lineage: Bacteria; Pseudomonadati; Bacteroidota; Sphingobacteriia; Sphingobacteriales; Sphingobacteriaceae. The record is from Rfam.